RNAcentral lists this ribosomal RNA (304 nucleotides) under Staphylococcus aureus. Its description in RNAcentral is "partial 23S ribosomal RNA". It matches the Rfam family "Bacterial large subunit ribosomal RNA", at positions 715 to 1017 of the family's 2925-position model. The record is from RNAcentral. Lineage: Bacteria; Bacillati; Bacillota; Bacilli; Caryophanales; Staphylococcaceae.
CCGAAACCAGGUGAUCUACCCUUGGUCAGGUUGAAGUUCAGGUAACACUGAAUGGAGGACCGAACCGACUUACGUUGAAAAGUGAGCGGAUGAACUGAGGGUAGCGGAGAAAUUCCAAUCGAACCUGGAGAUAGCUGGUUCUCUCCGAAAUAGCUUUAGGGCUAGCCUCAAGUGAUGAUUAUUGGAGGUAGAGCACUGUUUGGACGAGGGGCCCCUCUCGGGUUACCGAAUUCAGACAAACUCCGAAUGCCAAUUAAUUUAACUUGGGAGUCAGAACAUGGGUGAUAAGGUCCGUGUUCGAAAG